GGGCCGUUAGCUCAAUUGGUAGAGCAACUGACUCUUAAUCAGUAGGUCGCAGGUUCGAUCCCUGCACGGCCCA
This 73-nucleotide transfer RNA is filed under the name Pseudomonadota bacterium. RNAcentral's name for it is "tRNA-Lys". It matches the Rfam family "tRNA". From Rfam's summary of the family: Transfer RNA (tRNA) molecules are approximately 80 nucleotides in length. Lineage: Bacteria; Pseudomonadati; Pseudomonadota. The record is from RNAcentral.